This 484-nucleotide ribosomal RNA is filed under the name uncultured bacterium. RNAcentral describes it as "partial 16S ribosomal RNA". It matches the Rfam family "Bacterial small subunit ribosomal RNA", at positions 30 to 507 of the family's 1533-position model. The record is from RNAcentral.
AUUGAACGCUGGCGGCAGGCCUAACACAUGUAAGUCGAGCGGAUGAAGGGAGCUUGCUCCUGGAUUCAGCGGCGGACGGGUGAGUAAUGCCUAGGAAUCUGCCUGGUAGUGGGGGAUAACGUCCGGAAACGGGCGCUAAUACCGCAUACGUCCUGAGGGAGAAAGUGGGGGAUCUUCGGACCUCACGCUAUCAGAUGAGCCUAGGUCGGAUUAGCUAGUUGGUGGGGUAAAGGCCUACCAAGGCGACGAUCCGUAACUGGUCUGAGAGGAUGAUCAGUCACACUGGAACUGAGACACGGUCCAGACUCCUACGGGAGGCAGCAGUGGGGAAUAUUGGACAAAGGGCGAAAGCCUGAUCCAGCCAUGCCGCGUGUGUGAAGAAGGUCUUCGGAUUGUAAAGCACUUUAAGUUGGGAGGAAGGGCAGUAAGUUAAUACCUUGCUGUUUUGACGUUACCAACAGAAUAAGCACCGGCUAACUUCGUG